UACGAAGGGGGCUAGCGUUGUUCGGAAUUACUGGGCGUAAAGGGCGCGUAGGCGGCCUGCUAAGUCGAACGUGAAAUCCCUGGGCUCAACCCAGGAACUGCGUCCGAUACUGGUUGGCUUGAAUCCGGGAGAGGGAUGUGGAAUUCCAGGUGUAGCGGUGAAAUGCGUAGAUAUCUGGAGGAACACCGGUGGCGAAGGCGGCAUCCUGGACCGGUAUUGACGCUGAGGCGCGAAAGCCAGGGGAGCAAACGGG
This 253-nucleotide ribosomal RNA is filed under the name uncultured bacterium. RNAcentral describes it as "partial 16S ribosomal RNA". It matches the Rfam family "Bacterial small subunit ribosomal RNA", at positions 524 to 776 of the family's 1533-position model. The record is from RNAcentral.